GACGAACGCUGGCGGCGUGCCUAACACAUGCAAGUCGAACGGAAAGGCCCUGCUUUUGUUGGGUGCUCGAGUGGCGAACGGGUGAGUAACACGUGAGUAACCUGCCCUUGACUUUGGGAUAACUUCAGGAAACUGGGGCUAAUACCGGAUAGGAGCUCCUGCUGCAUGGUGGGGGUUGGAAAGUUUCGGCGGUUGGGGAUGGACUCGCGGCUUAUCAGCUUGUUGGUGGGGUAGUGGCUUACCAAGGCUUUGACGGGUAGCCGGCCUGAGAGGGUGACCGGCCACAUUGGGACUGAGAUACGGCCCAGACUCCUACGGGAGGCAGCAGUGGGGAAUAUUGCACACUGGGCGGAAGCCUGAUGCAGCAACGCCGCGUGCGGGAUGACGGCCUUCGGGUUGUAAACCGCUUUCGCCUGUGACGAAGCGUGAGUGACGGUAAUGGGUAAAGAAGCACCGGCUAACUACGUG
RNAcentral lists this ribosomal RNA (468 nucleotides) under uncultured bacterium. Its description in RNAcentral is "partial 16S ribosomal RNA". It matches the Rfam family "Bacterial small subunit ribosomal RNA", at positions 28 to 507 of the family's 1533-position model. The record is from RNAcentral.